This 1001-nucleotide small RNA is filed under the name Pongo abelii (Sumatran orangutan). RNAcentral describes it as "processed transcript". The record is from RNAcentral. Lineage: Eukaryota; Metazoa; Chordata; Mammalia; Primates; Hominidae.
ACUUCCGGAGCUGCGGGGACGACUCUUCUGGAGGAAGCAGCGCGGGCUUGACCGGCGUCGGCCCGCCGCCUCUGCUGCCGCUUCGCCCCAAUCCGGUCCCUCUGGCCCGGCCUGACCCGGUCUGGCUUGUUCGGGCUCAGCGGCCGCGAGGCCGCAGCUCCCGGUAUCUCAUUCAGUUGCUAAACUUAUAUUAGUUAAUUUCCACUGGCAAGUUUCAGAGAUAUUGGACAGAUACAAGUCCAAUUCUGCUCAACUGCUUGUUGAGGCUCGAGUUCAGCCUAAUCCAUCAAAACAUGUUCCCACAUCCCAUCCCCCUCACCACUGUGCAGUGUGUAUGCAGUUUGUGCGAAAGGAAAACCUACUCUCUCUGGCCUGUCAGCACCAGUUUUGCCGCAGCUGCUGGGAGCAGCACUGCUCAGUUCUCGUCAAGGACGGCGUGGGCGUGGGAGUCUCUUGUAUGGCUCAGGACUGUCCACUCCGUACACCAGAGGACUUUGUGUUUCCAUUGCUUCCCAGUGAAGAAUUGAGAGAGAAAUACAGGCGCUACCUCUUCAGAGACUAUGUGGAGAGUCAUUACCAGCUCCAGCUGUGCCCUGGUGCAGACUGCCCCAUGGUUAUUCGAGUACAAGAGCCUAGAGCUCGCCGAGUACAGUGCAAUCGGUGCAACGAGGUCUUCUGUUUCAAGUGUCGUCAGAUGUAUCACGCACCCACAGACUGCGCCACAAUCCGGAAAUGGCUCACGAAGUGUGCAGACGACUCUGAAACAGCCAACUACAUUAGUGCUCACACUAAAGACUGUCCCAAGUGCAACAUCUGCAUUGAGAAGAAUGGAGGCUGCAAUCACAUGCAAUGCUCCAAAUGUAAACACGACUUCUGCUGGAUGUGUCUAGGAGAUUGGAAGACUCAUGGCAGUGAAUACUAUGAGUGCAGUCGUUACAAGGAGAAUCCUGACAUUGUGAACCAGAGCCAACAAGCCCAGGCGAGGGAAGCCCUCAAGAAGU